Molecule: RNA transcript, 3382 nt
Organism: Myxocyprinus asiaticus (Chinese sucker)
Lineage: Eukaryota; Metazoa; Chordata; Actinopteri; Cypriniformes; Catostomidae
Gene name: transmembrane protein 117
Exons: 9
Source: RefSeq, a predicted model, not a curated record
AGUCUCCAUGUUGUGUUCCGGAUGUUUAACAGCUGAUGGUUGUGAUGAUGUUCGGAGGUUUAUUGGUCUCGUGUUGGUUCUGGUAAAUCAGACGCGUGUGGUGAAUCCGUCAUUCAGAUAGGAAUCAAAUCACGGAUGUCGCGAUGGGAUCUGAACAUCACGAUCACGACUGUCUCCGUGGGAGGUGUCUGGGCAUCCUCAGACGGAUGGAGAUUGACGUGCGGUUCCGUUAUUAUUUCCAGCACCCGUGGUCUCGUCUGGUCGUGGCGUAUCUGGUCACCUUCUUCAAUUUCCUGAUCUUUGCGGAGGAUCCCAUCUCUCACAGCCAGACGGAAGCACACAUGAUCGUGGUGGGGAACUGCUUCUCAUUCGUGGUGAAUAAAUAUCCUGGUGGAGGAUGGAACUUCCUGAAAGUCCUGAUGUGGAUCCUGGCCAUCAUCACGGGCCUCAUUGCCGGGAAGUUCCUGUUUCAUCGACGCUUGUUUGGUCGUCUGUUGCGUCUGAAGAUGUUUCGUGAGGAUCAUGGCUCGUGGAUGACGAUGUUCUUCAGCACGAUUCUCUCUCUGUUCAUCUUCUCUCACAUAUAUAACCUUCUACUGCUCAUGAACGGACGGAUGGGACCAUAUAUGGUGACGGAGUACAUGGGAAUCAGAAAUGAGAGUUUUAUGAAGUUGGCCGCUGUAGGAACAUGGAUGGGUGAUUUUGUGACGGCAUGGAUGGUAACAGAUAUGAUGCUGCAGGACACACAUUACCCGGACUGGGGCAGGACCGCGAGGCACUUAUGGAGGAAGGGCAAUAACAGAAUAGUGCUCUUCUGGACGGUGUUGGUCUCUCUGACGUCUGUGGUUGUUCUGGUCAUCAGUACUGACUGGAUCAGGUGGGAUAAUCUAAACCGCGGGUUUCUUCCCAGUGACGAGGUUUCCAGAGCGUUCCUCGCAUCCUUCAUCCUGGUCUUUGACCUCCUCAUCGUCAUGCAGGAUUGGGAGUUUCCACACUUCAUGGGCGAUCUGGACAUGAAUCUUCCGGGUCUUUCCACCACGCAACUGAAGAUCAAACUGCCUGUGUGCAAACGCAUCUUUAAAGACGAGUAUCACAUUCACAUCACAGGGAAAUGGUUUAAUUAUGGCAUCAUCUUUUUGGUUCUCAUCUUGGACCUGAACAUGUGGAAGAACCAGAUCUUCUAUAAGCCGUAUGAAUAUGGUCAGUACGUUGGUCCAGGAGAGAAGAUCUACACCGUUGAGCAUCCAGAGACGCUGCAAGACUUCAAUCGAAGCACGCUGACCUGGGCUUGGCGCACCACCAAUAUCGACCCCCUCACCAACCAGACUUACGUCCAGCGAGACAUGUUCCUACACAGCCGUUAUGUGGGCUCCAGUCUGGACGUCAAAUGCCUGGCAUUCAUCCCGAGUCUAGCAGCCUUCGUGCUCUGCGGAUUCUUCAUCUGGCUGUUUGGCCGGUUUCAAGACAGCGAGACGUUCCCUGAGAACCAAGACAAGAGUUACGAGCGCAUCAAGCGAAAGUCGCCGUCUGAUCUGGGAGUGACGCCAGAGGAGGUGCACAUCACCAUGAGUGAGGCGCUGAAGAGAAGCGGAACACCAAUGUUGCUCUUAGUGGAUGCACAUCAUUUUGGGUCAUCGAACAACUCCAUGUCACCGUGUUCAAACGAGACACAAGAGACACAACCCAGCGUAGCCAUCAACAGUGUUGUCCCCGAUGAUACUGCUGAUGUAAAAAAACUGACCCCAUGACUUUAGCCGAAAGUCAAACUGAGUCCAAAAAGUACUAUCUGAACAUUUUCUGGAAAUUGGUUGGUGUCAGUCCAACAAUCUUUCAAACAGUGUUGUCGGAAAACUAGCUUUGAAACUACACAAGAGCUAUCAUGGAAACUACAGUGAAAAUUCUGUUUGCAUUUUCAAUAUUUUUAUAAGAAACAUUUUAAAGACUUCUUAUGGCAUGAACGUUUGAACUGAAAUUGUUCAAUGUUCCUCAAAUCGUUCCUCUAUAAGGCUCUAUGGUGCUGAAUGUUUAAUUUAUUUUGUGUGUCUUUUGUAUGUAGAUAUUCUGGUGCCUACAUGGAUAAAUACUGUAAGUACACACUGAGCGCAUGGCAUGAUGGUUAUGAACAUGUUACUCUUAAUUAUAAGUAGGGCUGGGUAUUGAUACAGAUUUCCAUAUUUGCUUCGAGUCUGAUUCACAAACUCUCGAUUCGCUUGCGAUUUUGAUUAGAUUCUGAUUAAUUGUAACAGUUGUAAUGUCCAUUUUGCUUACAUAUAAAUUAAACUCUCUCUUAGCUAAUGCUGUAAAUUAUACAGGGGACCUUUUAACGUGGUACAUUAUGGUAAUAUUGGUACAUUAUGGUAAUAUUAACAAUAAGCUCUCAAACAGUGCAGUUCAAUUCCAAUAUACAGACAUAAUAUUCAAAACAUUCAAAACUGAAGGAAACUUUAAAGUAAAAGAUUUAUCUUGGGAUUGUAAGAAUCAAUUAAUCGUAAAAAUAAUAAUAAAAAAAUAAAAAUAAAAAAAUGUUUUUAUAUUUUUACCCAGCCCCGAUUAUAAGCAAUAACGCUGUGCCUUUAAUAGAAAACGACUAAUGGGUCGUAGGUUUGAAUUAUCUUUCCAAGCAAAGGAUGUCAUAUCAAGUAAUUAUCUGUUGAGAUAUUUAUCAGUUCACAAUAUUUAAAUGUUAUAUUAUUAUUUGGUCUCAUAGCUACAUUUAAAAGGGAAAAAAAACACCCUCAAAUGCAUCUAUUAAUAUGUGUAAAACUGUAAUUAUGAAUCAACUUUAAGAGCUGUUCACCAAACUGCUGUGCAAUCGAGUAUGUGUUCACAUGCAUGUGUUGGAAAAACUGAUCUGAUUCAUUUUUAGCUUAAAUAGUUCCUGUAGUUGAUUUUAUUGGUGCAAGAUUCAUUUUUAAUAUUACCUGUUUGUUUUCAAUACUUUCAGUUCAAACCAAAACAAUGAUCUGAAACUGUUACAACUCAGAAAAUGCUCACAAAUUAUUAUUUUGUUGUUUGUAGUACUGUUGUCUUGAAGUUUUCAUCACAAUCUGUGUCGGUUUACCUGCAUCUUGUGCUGUUGAGUGGAUGACACCUCUUCAAAUGUUCGAUCCAGCCGCUCAUCCUCAUCGUUUUCUUCAACACCUCAGCUCUCAGAUUGAGUCGUGUGUGAGGCUGUUCUCCAGGGUUUCCUGUCAUGACGGCUCUUUCUCUCCCGUUGACUAAAUCACAGAACAGACUCAAACUCCUGACAUGCGCUGACAGAGACAGAGACUUCCAUGUAGUGUAUUAGUUUCUGUGUGUGUGUUUGUGUUUGUGUGUGUGUGUGUGUGUGUGUGUGUGUUUGUGUGUGUUUGUGUGUGUGUGUUUGUGUGUGUGUGUGUGU